This 142-nucleotide unclassified non-coding RNA is filed under the name uncultured Rhizophydium. RNAcentral's name for it is "sequence contains ITS1". Lineage: Eukaryota; Fungi; Chytridiomycota; Chytridiomycetes; Rhizophydiales; Rhizophydiaceae. The record is from RNAcentral.
CUGAAUUUCUGCCUGGCUGGGAACGGCAACAAGUACCGCCUGGCAAAUUUACACCUGUGCAACCUGAUGUCUCUUGGGGGACUAGUGCCCCCAGCAGUGAUAAACACCUAUUGACCACGUCUGAACAUUUAUAUAAUAUAAA